This 382-nucleotide ribosomal RNA is filed under the name uncultured fungus. RNAcentral's name for it is "SSU rRNA". It matches the Rfam family "Eukaryotic small subunit ribosomal RNA", at positions 827 to 1208 of the family's 1831-position model. The record is from RNAcentral. Lineage: Eukaryota; Fungi.
CGCAUGGUUCUAUUUUGUUGGUUUCUAGGACCAUCGUAAUGAUUAAUAGGGACGGUCGGGGGCAUCAGUAUUCAGUUGCUAGAGGUGAAAUUCUUAGAUUUACUGAAGACUAACUACUGCGAAAGCAUUUGCCAAGGACGUUUUCAUUAAUCAAGAACGAAAGUUAGGGGAUCGAAGAUGAUCAGAUACCGUCGUAGUCUUAACCAUAAACUAUGCCGACUAGGGAUCGGACGGUGGUUUUUUUAUGCCCCGUUCGGCACCUUACGAGAAAUCAAAGUGUUUGGGCUCCAGGGGGAGUAUGGUCGCAAGGCUGAAACUUAAAGAAAUUGACGGAAGGGCACCACCAGGGGUGGAGCCUGCGGCUUAAUUUGACUCAACACGG